AACCUGGCCAGUGGGAGGACUGAAGAUGCCAGUCCCUGCGUAUAGGGAUUUGGAGGGAGUGGUUUAACAAGACUGGACCAGCUGUGUGAAAUUAAUUCUCUCCCUCUUAGCCACAAGAAGAGGGCUGUGCAUGCUGGGAACUCACUCAGAACAGGGAGAGGGUUUCUAGAAAGACCAGAGCUAAGUAGUGAAAGGUGGUUCCUGUCUAGAACUUGGCUAGAUUUAGUCCCGCUUUGGGCCUCUGCUCUAAAUAGGACUGAAGUGAGAUGUGUCUCAUUCCUUUCUGUUACCUUUUGGCUGAGGGAAGCCUUGCUGGUUCUGGCCCCUGAAGAGACAGACCAGUUUUUCCAUUUAUCUUUCUGUGCUACACUCCAAUUUACAUACCACCUAGCUGGGCAGAAUAUUUUUCUGCUCUUGAUCACCUGCCAGCUGCCACACACUUACAUUGGCAGAAUGCCCCUGUCUUGCAGGUUCUUCUCAUCCCUCUGAGUUUCUCAAGAGGACAGGAAGCAGCUCAAAAUAUUUCAUUUGUGCUGAAAAGCCUUGAACUCCAGUGAUUCCUCACUUUUUAAUAUCAGGAAAGGGGGCCCUCUUCCAGGAACACCUUCCUUGCGGGUGUAUGGAAAGUUGCCAGCUGAAAUAAACGAGAUAAUCUAAGUAAUCCAAUAGACAUCUGAAGAACUACACAGUAGAAGAACAGACAAAUGACUGAGUGAGCCUGUGAUCAAAAACUUACAGAAGAAAUUGAUUUAUUCCAAAAUAAAUGUCCCUAAAUUUAAAUGGGGACCUUUACCACCCG
Mauremys mutica (yellowpond turtle) is the source of this 799-nucleotide long non-coding RNA. RefSeq lists it as uncharacterized. The transcript has 3 exons. Lineage: Eukaryota; Metazoa; Chordata; Testudines; Geoemydidae. The record is from RefSeq and is a predicted model, not a curated record.